Molecule: long non-coding RNA, 2186 nt
Organism: Astatotilapia calliptera (eastern happy)
Lineage: Eukaryota; Metazoa; Chordata; Actinopteri; Cichliformes; Cichlidae
Source: Ensembl
ACUUGUUGUAAGAGAUGAUCAUGGGCAUGGAGUCCCUGUGGCCUAUGCUAUUGUCAGCAACGAAAGUCAGAAAACCCUGGAAACUGUUCUUGGAAUAGUUUGUGAGCAUUUCCCAACUUCCCCGAGAGCAUUUAUGGUUGACAAAGACUUUGCGGAAAUAAAUGCUUUGCAGAAGGUUUUUCCAGAGUCAGCUAUCCUUCUAUGCUGGUACCAUGUCUUGCAGGUAAACCACAUUGUUUUCUUUUCACGUUGUCUAAGAUGCACCUGAAACACAUUUUUACAACAGGGUCCUGUUGUUAUGAUUUGCCUCAUUGUGAUAUUCACCUACUCAGGUUAAUGAAUAUAAAGGGAUAAAAUGUUGAGUGACUAUGUCCAUCCAUUUAAGACCACAGUGCACUCAUCUUCUGGUGGCUGCUUCCCAAAGCUCUUUUUGACAUUUAAAAAUAUGUUUGCCUGGUUGAUUUCUGUAAUGCACAGGUCCUCUUGUCCAGUGAGUGACAAAGUUAUUUUUGGACGUCAGCUUUCUUUUAUGCUUUUUGUACAGCUGCCCCUCUGUCUCUCUCUCCAGAUUAACUUUUUUCCUCUUACAUUCACAGGCUGUUAAUCGAUGGCUUUCAAAAUCAGAGUCCGGGGUCCAUGGGCUUUCUAAAACCCAAAAGAGAAAUGAAAUCAUUUCUUUCUUUUGUAAGCUGAAAGCUUGCACAUCUGAGGACGACUUUAAAGCCACAUCAGCAGAGUUCUGCCAGACAAGCAAUACCCUUUGGUGUGCCAGUAUUUUCAGAAGCACUGGGAAGGCAUUGGCCACAUGUGGUGUGACUACGGCCGUCGCUUCAGUCACGCUCGUUCUGAAACAAACAAUGUGAUUGAAAGAUUUUUCCACCGCCUGAAAUACCAGUUUUUAUCUGGCUACAAGAAUAGGCGUCUGGAUGAUCUGAUUGAAGUGCUCCUAGGGAAGGCCGACGACUACUUCUCAGUCAUAAAAACCCUGCAAGAUGUGGGCCGCAUGAAAAACAGGUUUGCUGACACCUUGUCUCAAGUUUCAGACUCUGCUUCAAGACUGAUGGAAAGUGGUUGGGCUCUUAAAAUUACAGUCAAGAACAGCCAUGGAGUUAAUGCAUAUCAAGUCCCAUCUGAGUCAAGAGAAGACAUGGUGUAUGAUGUCUGCCCUGUUGAGUCCUACUGCAACUGUACAUAUGGCUUACGAGGACUUCUUUGCAAGCAUCUAGUGUUACUUGCAAAAUUAGCAGAGGCUGACAAUGACAUCUAUCCAAACAUGGAAACAGACAUUUCUACCUUGGCAAGAAUUGCAGUGAAAGAAAGGCAUUACUUUGUACACUGUGAGGACUUGAAAGUGAUAAAAAUGCCAAGUUUGUUUGGAAAUCUGUUUUUUUGCAUCGGCUGAAACACUUCAGUGCACUUGUUGUACGUUCUCUCACUAUAACACAUGUGCUUGCCUGAAGGUGGCUUGUAGCCAUUUUAAACAAAUGAAAAACUCUCUGAAAAGUCCUCUAUCAACUUUGAAUGACACUCCUGUAGUUGAAAGCACAGACAAAAAAUGCACAGAAGAUGCAGUUGGAAAACUAAAUGCUGUUUUAGACACAGUUAAACAGUGGGCAUUCAUUCCAGAGGGUAUUACUGCAAUGAUAGAUGAACUGCAUACAAAUGUCUUAAAAACAAAACAAGUAGGCAAAAGUAUAUGCCAGUACGAAAUAAAGACGACAGAUAAUGCACGCAAAAUUAGGCCAUUGUAUUCUAGCAAGAAACGUUCGGCCAGCAUCGACAUUCCAACAGUCUGUGAAAAUGAAUGUGAACAGUCGAUAACCACUGAAAGAGAGACAUCCUCUGGAGAAAAUGAAAACCUUUUGGAAUACAAAACAAAAAAGAGAAGAGUUAAAGCUAAGUAUAUGCACAAGUAGACUUUUGUGUGACAUUUCAAAGGGACUGCAUCCAUUACUUCUGUUUAUUGAAACCUAAAGCUGAAUAGCUGUCUUAACUUUCUGCCAAGGAACAGAUGAAAAGAAAUUGUUUGCUCUCUCAAGCAGUUGUUAUUUAUGUGUGUUAUUCAUUACUUUGGCUUGGUUGCUGUUUUUGAUACAAAUUCAUCUGUGCCCAUUGUAAUAUUUUCACAUGUUACUAUUUUUAUAUUGCUAUGCAUUAUAAAUAAAGGAUUACUUAUUACUAUUAAA